This 1584-nucleotide ribosomal RNA is filed under the name Candidatus Shikimatogenerans bostrichidophilus. Its description in RNAcentral is "bacterial SSU rRNA". It matches the Rfam family "Bacterial small subunit ribosomal RNA". Lineage: Bacteria; Pseudomonadati; Bacteroidota; Flavobacteriia; Flavobacteriales. The record is from RNAcentral.
UUUAAAAAGAGUUUGAUCCUGGCUCAGGAUAAACGCUAGCGUCAAGCUUUACACAUGCAAGUCGAGGGGUAAUAUUUUUAUAAUUUUUAAAUUUUAAAUUUAUUUAAUUUUUAAUUUUUAUAAGAAUAACGACCGGCGAACGGGUGAGUAAUACUUAUGUAAUUUACCUUUUGUUAAAGAAUAUCUUAAGUAAAAUUAAGUUAAUACUUUAUAAUAUAAUUGAUUAAUUAAGAUUAAUUAUAAAAGAUUUUUAAACAAAAAUUUAAAUUUCGACAAAAGAUAAGCAUUUGUCUGAUUAGUUUGUUGGUAAGGUAAAGGCUUACCAAGACUACGAUCAGUAGGGGGCCUAAGAGGGUGUACCCCCACAUUGGUACUGAGAUACGGACCAGACUCCUACGGGAGGCAGCAGUGAGGAAUAUUGGUCAAUGGAGGCAACUCUGAACCAGCUAUGACGCGUGUAGGAAGACAGCCUUAGGGUUGUAAACUACUUUUGUAUAAGAAUAAAAAAUUUCUUCGGAAAUAUAUUGAAGGUAUUAUACGAAUAAGUAUCGGCAAACUCCGUGCCAGCAGCCGCGGUAAUACGGAGGAUACAAGCGUUAUCCGGAUUUAUUGGGUUUAAAGGGUACGUAGGUGGAAAAAAAAGUCAAUAAUGAAAUUUUAUAACUUAAUUAUAAAAGUGUUAUUGAAACUUUUUUUCUAGAGUAUAAAUGGAGUAAUUGGAAUAUGUGGAGUAGCGGUAAAAUGCUUAGAUAUCACAUAGAACACCAAAAGCGAAGGCAGAUUACUAAUUUAUUACUGACACUGAGGUACGAAAGCGUGGGUAGCAAACAGGAUUAGAUACCCUGGUAGUCCACGCUGUAAACUAUGAUUACUAAUAAUUGGAUAAGAUUAAAUAAUUAUUCAGUUAUCAAGCUAAAGUGAUAAGUAAUCCACCUGGGGAGUACGAUCGCAAGAUUGAAACUCAAAGGAAUUGACGGGGACCCGCACAAGCGGUGGAGCAUGUGGUUUAAUUCGAUAAUACGCGAGGAAUCUUACCAAGGUUUAAAUGUAUUAUGAAUAAUUUAGAAAUAAAUUAGUCUUCGGACAUAAUACAAGGUGCUGCAUGGUUGUCGUCAGCUCGUGCCGUGAGGUGUUAGGUUAAGUCCUUUAACGAGCGCAACCCUUAUUAUUAGUUGCUAACAGGUUAAGCUGAGAUAUCUAAUAAGACAGCUAACGUAAGUUAUGAGGAAGGUGAGGAUGACGUCAAAUCAUCAUGGCUCUUACAUCUUGGGCUACACACGUGCUACAAUGGUUAAUACAGAGAGUUGCAAAUAGGUAACUAAGAGCUAAUCUUCAAAAUUAAUCUCAGUUCAGAUUGAAGUCUGUAACUCGACUUUAUGAAGUAGGAAUCGCUAGUAAUCGCGUAUCAGCAAUGACGCGGUGAAUAUGUUCUCGGGUCUUGUACACACCGCCCGUCAAGCCAUGGAAGUUAAUUUUAUUUAAAGUUAAAAACUUUAAAAAGUUUUAAUUAGGAUAAAAUUAAUGACUAGGGCUAAGUCGUAACAAGGUAGCCGUAUCGGAAGAUGUGGCUGGAAAAUUUCUGUU